GAUGAACGCUGGCGGCGUGCCUAAUACAUGCAAGUCGAGCGAACAGACGAGGAGCUUGCUCCUCUGACGUUAGCGGCGGACGGGUGAGUAACACGUGGAUAACCUACCUAUAAGACUGGGAUAACUUCGGGAAACCGGAGCUAAUACCGGAUAAUAUAUUGAACCGCAUGGUUCAAUAGUGAAAGACGGUUUUGCUGUCACUUAUAGAUGGAUCCGCGCCGCAUUAGCUAGUUGGUAAGGUAACGGCUUACCAAGGCAACGAUGCGUAGCCGACCUGAGAGGGUGAUCGGCAACAUUGGAACUGAGCAACGGUCCAGACUCCAACGGGAGGAAGAAGUAGGGAAUCUUCCGCAAUGGGCGAAAGCCUGACGGAGCAACGCCGCGUGAGUGAUGAAGGUCUUCGGAUCGAAAAACUCUGUUAUCAGGGAAGAACAAAUGUGUAAGUAACUAUGCACGUCUUGACGGUACCUAAUCAGAAAGCCACGGCUAACUACGUG
RNAcentral lists this ribosomal RNA (497 nucleotides) under uncultured bacterium. RNAcentral describes it as "partial 16S ribosomal RNA". It matches the Rfam family "Bacterial small subunit ribosomal RNA", at positions 28 to 507 of the family's 1533-position model. The record is from RNAcentral.